GAGGUAGUGCCAUGCAUAUAAUAGUGACAGAUUAAUAUAUACUUUGAUCGAUACUUUUAAGUGAGUUUUGUCAAACAUGGGAAAGGCCAAGAAGGCAUCUGAAAUAGCUUUCGAGGGAAGUAUGAACUUCUGGAUCCUUGCCUGAGUUCCCAAUAACUUGAGAGAGAGCAGAAACCAUAGCAGAUGUGUCGCGUUGGGAUCUAGCAGAGUAGACGCGGCACAGUUCUACUUCCUCUUUUUCCUCCGAUUCAUCGAACGGAAGGGGCCUCUUCCCAUGCCUACGAUCCACUGUUUUUCCCUUUAUUUGUCACAGUAAAGCACUUCCAAGAGACUACAAAUUAAAGGCUGAAGAAGUAGACUUUAGGGUUUGCUACAAGACAUACAAGAUGCAGAGAAAUAUUAACAAGAAUGGAAAAGGAGGAGGAAUUGCUAGGGUUUUCUAUAACAGCUGAAAUGUCUGUUGAAAUUAAGGAAUAUUUGGUCUUACCUUUGCAAACCUACCUGUGACUCAACGUUAUAUCUUAAUUGAUAAUUGGGUGGUCAAGUUGUACCCAUAUUUUCUU
This is a long non-coding RNA of Olea europaea var. sylvestris, 563 nucleotides long. RefSeq lists it as uncharacterized. The record is from RefSeq and is a predicted model, not a curated record. NCBI's taxonomy places the organism in Eukaryota, Viridiplantae, Streptophyta, Magnoliopsida, Lamiales, Oleaceae. The transcript has 2 exons.